GUCGUUCACCACGCAUCCGAGCUCCAACGCCGCCGACUCGCACAUAGUGAAUUCGUCCACGAAGUGCCGCGAGUGCGGAACGACAUUGCCAGGAUUUCGAACUGAAAAGUGCACGCCAUCUCGUCAGAGAAUCUCUGAUGUUGUAAGAAGCAUUGUAUUAAAAAGGAAAAAAAUACACAUUUGGUGGAAUCAGAAAAGUUAAAGAAUAAACAAAAGGAGAAUUUUUACGUGCGAUCGCAACAAUGCUACUGUAAUGAAUCGUACCGACAAACAUGUCUCCGACGUUUGUUUCCGUAAAUCUAGUUGGGAUCAUCCGGGAAUCCAUGCAGGUAAAGAACACUGCCUUUGGCUGUGACAGGAGGAAUAAUAGACAUUAAAUUAGAUAAAUUACGCAAAAAUAACAUACAUCAAUGGGCAAAAAAGAUUUUCAAGGUUUACUUUUAAAUUGCGCUUGAGCACGCUCAAUUUUAUACACCCCAGUUAGAUGUAGUGCUUUAAAAAAAAAAAAAAAAAAAAAAGUUUUCAAUGUUGAAAAUAAAAGUCAAAAAUUUUCAAAAUGCUUGUUAAUUUCUAUAGCUUGUUACUACAAUUUUAAUUCAUUUUUGAAUGUAAAUGAAAGUAAAUUCUUGAACCAAUUUUUCCAAGCGAUAUUGGAAUCUUGCGUGAUGGAUCAACAUCUAAAUAGAUUCCAAUAUCGCUUUGGAAGAUCGAUUCAUUUACUUCCGAUUGGAAAAUUAUAGUCAAAAUUGUAAUUAAAAGUUCAUCGAAGUGAAUAGAAAUUUUGAAAAUUUUUAACUUUUAUUUUUGACAUCGAAAUAAUAUUUCUUCGAAACACUAUUUCUGACUGGGACGUUUUAUAAAUGGUUCUAAAACAUAUUAGAUUCAUUUGAGAAACAUAUAAAACAAUAUGUGAAUGACACAUGCUAUUUGGGUAAAACAUCCAAUUUUAUUAAAUUUUAUAAUAAUUUUUUAUGAAAUAUACGAAGGCAUUUCUUUCUUCGAUUCUUGAAUAUUUUUUAAUAUGUUCAAGCAAUAAAUAUAUAAAUGUAUAUAAAAAAGUAUGUGGGUAAAUUAAACAUUUUAGAAACAUAUAUUAUACUAUAUAUUUUUAAUUUUUAAUAAUGGAUAUGGUCGGUAAAUAUUCUGCCUUUAAAUAUAUCCUGAUAUAUUCUAAAAUUUACAUCGAUAAUAUAGUUCUGUCUUUGCCAAAGGAGCACUCUAUUGGCAGAAAAACAGAACUACUACACUAUAUUGUUCUACAUCUACCAGCAUAACAUCGUAAGGUAAAUAACAAAAUGUUUUAUUGGUAAAACAGAAUACUUAUUUUUCUAUCUGUCAAUAAGGUAAACGUUCUGUUUAAUAGAUACACGUGUACUCUUCCAAUAAUUAUUAGUCGAUCAAUGACAUAUGAUUUCAAGGUCAUAAUUCGGGUCACUGCAUUCAAAACGAAUGAUUUCAUUAAUUGUGUCAGAUAAAUAAAGUUAAAUGAAGCGAAUUCAUUUUUGAUGGAUCACUUGUUGAGUAUCAAAACAAAACGCACGUGGACCAACCACCCUUGGCGACGCGAGAAAUGUUAGAAUACCUGAGUACUCAUACAUCGAAAGAUUUCGUCACGCGAGAUUUUUUUUUUUUAACUGUACGAACAUACCUCGGGAUGAUCUCUGACUUGUUGGAAUUGCUUCACCAUUCCCUCCCGAUGGCACUUUCUGUACUUCAUGAUCCCCUUGAGUAUUCUGUCCAUUACGGCAUUCGAGCAAUAACUGUGCAACAAAACCGUCAUAAAUUGUUCUGAAUGUGAAAAGCAAUGACAGCACACAAUUCCGCCAUUUGGCAAUUUUAUGGCGGGAAAUUUAAUUUUCCACUUAUCUAUGAUAGAACAAGUCUAUUUCUUUCAAAUUCAGUCGCUUUAAAUCUUAUAAAAUAUAUUAAAAACUAAAAAGAAAGAGCUUUAAAGAAGCACAUCUGAAGAAGUAUAUUAAUAAAAAAUUUUUAAUCCAAAUAGUUUCUAAGAUUAAAUUUAUUUAUUUUAAGCAUUGAUUAUUUUACUAAAAAUGUUUCUAUCAAUUCUAUAAAUUUUUAAUAUUCGUUCAACGUAAAAGAAAUGUGUUUACUUGCGGUUGUAAUUUAUUUGCACAUUUAAAAAAUACAUUGUAGUUUUAUUACAUCUCGUAUGUAAACCUUGCAUCAUUUUUAAGGUUGUAAAUAUACAAAUACAACAUACAACCUUUUCCUACGAAAGUGACAUUAACUAUUUAUCCAUCUUACAACGCUACGAUACUCCGAUGCAAUAAGCUUCACGUCCACUUGAAAGCUUCUUUUAUAUUCAAGAACAAUCUUUAAGAGUAAAAUUGAAAUUAGUGAAUACAUAAUUAAAGGAGAGAGCGGUAUCGAUAUGUAUUAUAUUCACAGGAAACUUAUAUUGUCGUAGAUCAUCGCGAACAGAAGCUCUCAAGUGAACACUCAGUCUUAUACUAUGAGAUCGUGAUGCAUGCAAAAAAGAACAACGUAUGGUUGCAAUGAUUUAUU
Molecule: long non-coding RNA, 2526 nt
Organism: Solenopsis invicta (red fire ant)
Lineage: Eukaryota; Metazoa; Arthropoda; Insecta; Hymenoptera; Formicidae
Exons: 2
Source: RefSeq, a predicted model, not a curated record